UAAGGAAUAUUGGUCAAUGGACGCAAGUCUGAACCAGCCAUGCCGCGUGAAGGAUGAAGGCCCUCUGGAUUGUAAACUUCUUUUAUCUGGGACGAAAACGGGAUUUUUAUCUCAAUUGACGGUACCAGAGGAAUAAGCACCGGCUAACUCCGUGCCAGCAGCCGCGGUAAUACGGAGGGUGCGAGCGUUAUCCGGAUUUACUGGGUUUAAAGGGUGCGUAGGUGGGCUUAUAAGUCAGUGGUGAAAUCUCCGAGCUUAACUUGGAAACUGCCGUUGAUACUAUAGGUCUUGAAUUAUCUGGAGGUAAGCGGAAUAUGUCAUGUAGCGGUGAAAUGCUUAGAUAUGACAUAGAACACCAAUUGCGAAGGCAGCUUACUACAUAUAAAUUGACGCUGAGGCACGAAAGAGUGGGGAUCAAACA
Molecule: ribosomal RNA, 421 nt
Filed under: uncultured bacterium
Lineage: Bacteria
Description: bacterial SSU rRNA
Rfam family: Bacterial small subunit ribosomal RNA
Source: RNAcentral